GAUCAUGGCUCAGGAUGAACGCUGGCGGCGUGCCUAACACAUGCAAGUCGAACGAAGCAUACGGACUGGAGAUUCGUCGAAGGACCGUAUGACUUAGUGGCGGACGGGUGAGUAAUGUAUGAGCAACCUGCCUUUCAGAGGGGGACAACAGUUGGAAACGACUGCUAAUACCGCGUAACGUAUCGUGGGGGCAUCCUCGUGAUACCAAAGGAGCAAUCCGCUGAAAAGAUGGGCUCAUAUCUGAUUAGCUUGUUGGCGGGGUAACGGCCCACCAAGGCGACGAUCAGUAGCCGGACUGAGAGGUUGAACGGCCACAUUGGGACUGAGAUACCGGCCCAGACUCCGUACGGGAGGCAGCAGGUGGGGAAUUAGUUGGGCAAGUGGGACGAAAGCCUACGACCCAGCAACGCCGCGUAGAAGGAAGAAGGUCUUCGGAUUAGUUAACUUUCUUUUAUGGAGGGACGAAGGACGUGACGGUACCUCAUGAAUAAGCCACGGCUAACUACGUGCCAGCAGCCGC
This 520-nucleotide ribosomal RNA is filed under the name uncultured bacterium. Its description in RNAcentral is "bacterial SSU rRNA". It matches the Rfam family "Bacterial small subunit ribosomal RNA", at positions 15 to 518 of the family's 1533-position model. The record is from RNAcentral.